UUGUUGCAGUUGAGAGCUGGAAAUGUUAUUGAGAAGAAAGAUCGAAUUUACGAGGUCUUGAAAGUUGAUCAUUCGCAUGAAGGAAGGGGGAAAGCUACCAUAAAGGU
Molecule: long non-coding RNA, 107 nt
Organism: Morus notabilis
Lineage: Eukaryota; Viridiplantae; Streptophyta; Magnoliopsida; Rosales; Moraceae
Exons: 3
Source: RefSeq, a predicted model, not a curated record